GCACUGCUGAAGAGUCCCGAAAUAGGACGAAACGGCCGUCCAGUGU
This 46-nucleotide non-coding RNA is filed under the name Schistosoma mansoni. Lineage: Eukaryota; Metazoa; Platyhelminthes; Trematoda; Strigeidida; Schistosomatidae. The record is from RNAcentral.